This 253-nucleotide ribosomal RNA is filed under the name uncultured bacterium. Its description in RNAcentral is "partial 16S ribosomal RNA". It matches the Rfam family "Bacterial small subunit ribosomal RNA", at positions 524 to 776 of the family's 1533-position model. The record is from RNAcentral.
UACGUAGGGUGCAAGCGUUGUCCGGAAUUAUUGGGCGUAAAGAGCUUGUAGGCGGUUUGUCGCGUCUGCUGUGAAAUUUCGGGGCUCAACCCCGAACUUGCAGUGGGUACGGGCAGACUAGAGUGUGGUAGGGGAGACUGGAAUUCCUGGUGUAGCGGUGAAAUGCGCAGAUAUCAGGAGGAACACCGAUGGCGAAGGCAGGUCUCUGGGCCACUACUGACGCUGAGAAGCGAAAGCAUGGGUAGCGAACAGG